AACGAACGCUGGCGGCAGGCUUAACACAUGCAAGUCGAACGAACGUAGCAAUACGUGAGUGGCGCACGGGAGAGUAACACGUGGGAACCUACCUUUUGGUUCGGAAUAACGUCGGGAAACUGACGCUAAUACCGGAUACGCCCUAUGGGGGAAAGAUUUAUUGCCAAAAGAUGGGCCCGAGCUAGAUUAGCUUGUUGGUGAGGUAACGGCUCACCAAGGCGACGAUCUAUAGCUGGGCUGAGAGGAUGACCAGCCUCACUGGGUCUGAGACACGGCCCAGACUCCUACGGGAGGCAGCAGUGGGGAAUAUUGGACAAUGGGGGAAACCCUGAUCCAGCCAUGCCGCGUGAAUGAUGAAGGCCUUCGGGUUGUAAAGUUCUUUUGGUGGGGACGAUGAUGACGGUACCCACAGAAUAAGCUCCGGCUAACUUCGUGCCAGCCGCCGCCGUAA
RNAcentral lists this ribosomal RNA (451 nucleotides) under uncultured bacterium. Its description in RNAcentral is "partial 16S ribosomal RNA". It matches the Rfam family "Bacterial small subunit ribosomal RNA", at positions 29 to 523 of the family's 1533-position model. The record is from RNAcentral.